UGACUGGCUCCUACCACUCCACGAAAAUAAAACGUAAUAAAAGCUGAUAACUGCUGCAUACCGAUUCAAAAGCAACUGAAGAUCUAACGUCCUGCAGUAGUACAACAUUCCUCUCUUUACCCAAGGACAAUUUUCAGUUUCGAGCAAUUGCAGUAAUGGCAUCAAAGACUGUUAUCAGUAUGCUACUUCUACUCGCUGUUGUAGUUACAGCCAGUGCUUCUCUGGAAACUCAAGGCGAUUCUGCGGUUGUCCGCGAUAUCCUCCUUAGCGAAACCGACUUUCAGGAGCCUGCGCCAGAUAUGCUGAAUGUGGAGGAGACUCAAUUUAAAUUUAAGUGCAGGAUAGGCGGUAUAGUAUUCAACUGCUAAACAAAAUGCUAUUGAGCGAUUUGUCGUGGUCGAGCGACAAACUACAACAUCAACAAUCAUCAAAACCGACAACCUGCAAAACCGACAACCCCGGAGGCUGAUGAUUAUACUAAUAAGAGUUAUAAUAACGUUAGGUUCGUAAUUUAUGAACCAGAGCUAAAUAAUACAGACUUCCAAUAGAAAAUCUAUUUAUUCAGAUGGUCAUAUCUCAGCCGAUACUUAUUC
This is a long non-coding RNA of Strongylocentrotus purpuratus (purple sea urchin), 593 nucleotides long. RefSeq lists it as uncharacterized. Lineage: Eukaryota; Metazoa; Echinodermata; Echinoidea; Camarodonta; Strongylocentrotidae. The record is from RefSeq and is a predicted model, not a curated record. The transcript has 4 exons.